Molecule: long non-coding RNA, 986 nt
Organism: Diabrotica virgifera virgifera (western corn rootworm)
Lineage: Eukaryota; Metazoa; Arthropoda; Insecta; Coleoptera; Chrysomelidae
Exons: 2
Source: RefSeq, a predicted model, not a curated record
CUUAUUAUGCAUCGACAAUGUGGAGUUUCUUCCAACUAGUCAAUACACUUUUUAUAGGUAUCUUUCUUUUGCCUUUCAUAGCCACAACAAGGCUAUAAUACGUUUCCUUCCUGGUUUUUUUGUAGACCACUUUCAGCUGAUUCUAAAAAAUUAAAAUGAAUGGUAAUUUUUCUAUUCUUUACAAUUAAAAAUCAAAAGAAAUAGGAAAUAGGUACUACUAUUUACAGGUAAUAAUAUGCAUAAAUAAUUCGUUUCCUAAAGAAUACAGAAAAUUGAAAACGUUUUUAUAAUACUUACAUAAUUGUUUAAACAAAAGAGACCCAGCCAGAGCAAAACUAACAGACAGAACUGCAAAAAAGCCACUAAUUUCCAUUUUCCCACCCCCUUAUCUUAUAUGCAUUUUCCAAUCAAAAUUUUUAGGUUGUCAUGAACAUGAAAGACUCAACCUCAACAAAUAAUAAUAAACAAAAAGCUCUACUUCCACUUCCCGCCAAAUGGACACAGGUUGGUGACACUGAAUUUACGCCAAAUAAAAUGAAAAAAUAGAACAAUUAGGGAUUCCAAUGAACUGUCAGUGGUGGUCGGUGGAUGGCUAAACUGACAUGGCCAUAGACACAGUUAAGGGGGGUGGUCAUGAUGUAUGUAAUAUUUACAUUGAAUAUUGACAAAUUUGUAAAGAAUAUCCUGUUUGGUUUUGUUUUUUUGUUAAUUGUGUAGCGAAAUUUGUGAAAUUGUGAUAGCAAAUUAAAUAUGAAGUGGUUUAAACAUUGGAUACGCCUAUGGAUGACAGUUUCGCCAUCCAGCAGCCAUAUUAUAUCACGUGAUUUGGAAUGCCUAAUUUUCUUUUUCGUCAAUUUCUUCACGUGAAGUUUAUAACGAACAAACUUAGAUGUCAAAGUGUGCUUUUACACGUCAAAUUUGGCCUUGAAUAACUUGGUCAAUUUCUUGUCCAAUUUAUUGUUGAUGUAAAGUGGACUUAAGAAAUU